AGUGAACGUUGGCGGCGUGGAUUAGGCAUGCAAGUCGAGCGAGAACCGUAGCAAUACGGGGACAGCGGCGAAAGGGACAGUAAUGUGUAGGUACCUACCCCGAGGUCUGGGAUAGCUGCGGGAAACUGCAGGUAAUACCGGAUGAUGUCUUCGGACCAAAGGUGUGAUUCCACCUUGGGAGGGGCCUGCAUCCUAUUAGCUAGUUGGCGGGGUAAUGGCCCACCAAGGCGACGAUGGGUAGCGGGUGUGAGAGGACGACCCGCGUCAUUGGGACGGAGACACUGCCCAGACACCUACGGGUGGCUGCAGUCGAGGAUCUUCGGCAAUGGGCGAAAGCCUGACCGAGCGACGCCGCGUGCGGGAUGAAGGCCUUCGGGUUGUAAACCGCUGUCGUAGAGGAGGAAAUGCAGGUGGGUUCUCCCAUCUGUUUGACCUAUUCUAGGAGGAAGUACGGGCUAAGUUCGUGCCAGCCGCCGCCGUAA
Molecule: ribosomal RNA, 482 nt
Filed under: uncultured bacterium
Lineage: Bacteria
Description: partial 16S ribosomal RNA
Rfam family: Bacterial small subunit ribosomal RNA
Source: RNAcentral